This is a small nuclear RNA of Dromiciops gliroides (monito del monte), 106 nucleotides long. NCBI's taxonomy places the organism in Eukaryota, Metazoa, Chordata, Mammalia, Microbiotheria, Microbiotheriidae. The record is from RefSeq and is a predicted model, not a curated record.
GUAUUCACUUUUAUAUCACUAAUAUUAAAACUGAAACAAAAUAGAGAUGAUCACCAUGGCUCCUGAAUGAUGAUGACAUAAAAUUAACAAAGCAUUCCAUAUUUUU